Molecule: non-coding RNA, 770 nt
Organism: Triticum urartu
Lineage: Eukaryota; Viridiplantae; Streptophyta; Magnoliopsida; Poales; Poaceae
Source: RefSeq, a predicted model, not a curated record
UUCUACAAGAUCUUUCUUGAAGAUUGGUAAGAUCUAGUUGGUCGCAUCUGAUUUACUGCUGGCACCUCGCUAGGUUGCUGUUACAGUUGCCUUAGAAGUUAGAACAUCCUGCUGAUCAGCUAAAAAAAAGAACGAACAUCCUGCUGAUACAUUAGUGCCCACCUAGUGGAUUCCAUCAUGCUGCCACCUUAUACCAUGGUUACAUUAUUGUGAAGUUAGCAUGCCUACUGCAGACGAUCAUAUCAAGCGAGUAUUUUUCCUUCCUUCUUAUGAAAGAACUGUUUCUACCCAUCUGUUGUUGCAGAUUGUCAACUCUGUUGUCAUGAACCAUGUGGUUAUUGAAGAUGGCUGUCACAUCCAAGGUUCUGUUAUAUGUAAUAAUGUGCAACUUCAAGAGCGUGCCGUUCUGAAAGAUUGCCAGGUUGGAGCUGGUUAUACUGUGACUACUGGUAGUGAUCACAAAUCAGAAUCCCUGGCGAGAAAGUAGAGCACAUUUUGAUAGUUCUGCGGUGGACUCGAGCACAUGUGCGUAUCAGAUGCACCCCUAUGAGUAAAGAAAGGGGAUACAGUUCUGUUUUGAGAUCUUUCUUCUUACAGUUUCUCGUUUGAGAUAUGAUAGCAGAAUUUUGGUUCCGGCAACAUUCUGAAAAUUUUGCGUGCUCUGAAUGUGAACUGCAACUAGUGAGAUGGUUUCAUGGCGUGGCUCCUUUUUAUCUUGAGAUGGAUUCAUGGCACGUCUUGAAUCAAUGGCUUGCUUUGCUUAAUCAUUC